GGAAUGUGGCUCAGCGGUAGAGUGCUCCCCUGGCACCGGGUGGGACCCGGGUUUGAUCCUCAGCACCA
Molecule: transfer RNA, 68 nt
Filed under: Marmota monax (woodchuck)
Lineage: Eukaryota; Metazoa; Chordata; Mammalia; Rodentia; Sciuridae
Description: tRNA.Ala
Source: RNAcentral